RNAcentral lists this ribosomal RNA (253 nucleotides) under uncultured bacterium. RNAcentral describes it as "partial 16S ribosomal RNA". It matches the Rfam family "Bacterial small subunit ribosomal RNA", at positions 524 to 776 of the family's 1533-position model. The record is from RNAcentral.
AACGUAGGAGACAAACGUUAUCCGGAUUUACUGGGCGUAAAGGGCGUGUAGGUGGUUGUGUAAGUCUGGCGUGAAAUUUUUCGGCUUAACCGGGAAAGGUCGUCGGAUACUGCAAAACUAGAGGACGGUAGAGGCGUGUGGAAUUCCGGGUGUAGUGGUGAAAUGCGUAGAGAUCCGGAGGAACACCAGUGGCGAAGGCGACACGCUGGGCCGUACCUGACACUGAUGCGCGACAGCAUGGGGAGCAAACAGG